GGGAGUAGCUCAGUGGUAGAGCGUCAGCCUUCCAAGCUGAGGGUCGCGGGUUCGAAUCCCGUUUCCC
RNAcentral lists this transfer RNA (67 nucleotides) under marine eukaryotic metagenome. It matches the Rfam family "tRNA". Rfam says of the family: Transfer RNA (tRNA) molecules are approximately 80 nucleotides in length. The record is from RNAcentral.